UCAGGACAAAAGGAAGACAUGCAAUCACAUUUGGACAGCAAGAACAAGUCUUAGCAGUGAUAUCAGAGGAAGAGCAAGAAAGACUUGAAGAAAGUGAAAACAACGAGCUACAAAUUUCUCAUGGGCAUAAGAAAGAAAAAGAUCUGUUGCAUAAAAAUUGCAUGUUGCAGGAAGAAAUUGCAAGGCUAAGACUGGAAAUAGAUGCACUGAAAAAUUGGAACCAGCAAAAGGAAAAGAAUUUUCUUGAGGACAUUAAAAUUGCGAAAGAAAAGAAUGAUUUCCUUCAAAAUGCUUUGAUGCUGAAAGAGGAAACAUUUGCAACAAUGAUAUUCCAGGACAGUAUACAGCCUGAAGUUUUGAAAGCUGAGAAUGAAAUGUCCAGUUUUAAAUUGAAGGAUAAAAGCCAAAACCAGGAGAGACUGGAAAGAGAAAUUGAAUCAUAUCGUUGUAGACUGGCUGCUGCUCUACAAGACCGUGAUCAAAGUCAGGCAUCAAAAAGAGAUGUAGAAUGUGAUUUCCAGAGGACAAGAGAAGAGUGGUUUCAUUUAAAGGAAAAAAUGAAUUUUGAUAUGAGUAACCUAAAAGAUAAGAAUGAGCUGCUUUCUGAAAAACUUUCUAAUGCUGAAAAUAAAAUCAGAAGCCUCAAAAUGAAGUGGCACCAGACAAAAGAUGCUCUAAAGGAAAAGACAUUGGUUUUAGAAGAUGUCCAAAGAGACCUAACCCAAUCACAAUGUCGGAGGAAAGAAAUUGAACAAAUGUUUCAGAAUGAAGAAGACAAAGUGAGUAAAUACAUUCAAAAGCAAGAAUCUCUAGAGGAGAGAUUAUCUCAAAUACAAAACGAAAAUCUGUUACUUCGACAGCAACUGGAUGAGGCUUACAAGAAAGCCGACAAUCAAGAAGAGACAAUAAUUAAUAUCCAAGAGCAAUUUAAUGCUAUUGUCAAAAAUCAAGCUCAGAGUGAAGAGCAAAGUCUUCUACUAGAGCAGAAAAACAACAACUUGAUCAAUAAAUGCGAUUUCAUAAAAAAAAGAUUGUAUAAAUAUGAAAAAGAGAAAGCAGAAAGAAAUGAAAUUAUGAGACAACUUCAACAAGAACUGGCUGAUACUGUAAAAAAACAACCUAUAUCAGAGCCUCCACUAGAGGCUACACCAUGUUAUGUUAAUUUAGAUGAAACACAGGCCUCAAAGAGGAAAUCAGAUCAAAUCAGAAGUCAAAUUGUCUCUUCACUCUGUUGGUUGUUCCCUUUGCUAUGAAGAAACUUAAAUUUUAAUAUAGUCUCAUUGGUCAGUUUUCGCCUGUGUUUUUGAUGUUUUAGUCAUCACAGCUUUGCCUAGACCAAGGCUGAUCUUACAGAAGCAGUGGAAACUGCAUCUUCAGAAGGUCUACAUGUGAAUGCAGAGAUUGAAGUUCUUCAACAGGCAUUAUUAUAUAUGAAAACAAUGCAAGAGAAACGUGAAACACUACAGAAGGAUCAGGAGAAGUUGGAAGAAGAACUAGUAAACCUCAAAAGUCACAUGGAAAUGAAUAUGUUAGAAUGUGGUCAAUUGGAACACUAUAAACAGGAGGUAGAAGAAAGAGCAAGGCAGGAGAUAGCAGAACAAUUAGAAAACAUUGGUCUACUUUUACAGUCACAGAAAAUAGCUCAUGACCAGUUACAGUUAAAAGAGGAAAGCAAUGCUACUAUGAAAAGUCAGAUGGAACUUAGAAUUAAAGAUCUGGAAUUCAAACUCUACAAAGCAAGAACUUCACAAGCGGACUGUAAUACAACAGAAUUGGAAAAAUAUAAGGAGCUGUAUCUAGAAGAAUUAAAACUUAGAGAAUCUUUGUCAGAUGAACUAAACAAGCGUAAAGAAAUUCUAGCAGAUGUCAGUACCAAACUUCUUCAAGAAAAAGAGUGGAGCAGAUCUUUAUUUACUUCUCAUACUACAAGGCCAGUCCUAGAGUCAGCAUGCAAUGGAAAUCUUAAUGAAAAUUUAGGUCUCAGCAGAAUACAUAUUCCAAGAGAAGCCUUAAGAAUUCCUACCUUAAACUCAUUGUCUUCAAAUAUCAGAAUGGAGAGCGACUUGUCAAAGGAAGACAAGAAUGGAGGACACUUUCUGGAACUCCAGGCUUGACAACAUCUCUCGGUGUUGUGACUCGCAUCCUGUUGUGAGCAGUUAUGGUGCCAGGGAUCACCAGGUGGGUCCACUAUUCCAAGGUAAAGCUGUAUGACUCAUCUCUGGCAGAGGAAGUCGUAAAGGUCCCACUGGACACCUGGACCACUGAGCCCCUCCAGGGUCUCAAACUCCUCUUCAAGCAAAGCCAAAAGAAUAAAGAUAAGUAAAUUAGUAAUGCUUUGGAUUGUUAUACCAUGAAUCGUAAUACUCCUUGCAGGUUUACUAAUAUGUCUUUGCUACUGUGAACCAAUACCACCCCCCACCCACUGCCAGGAAAAGGUCUGUUCUUCCCUACCUGGAUUUAAAUCUCAAAGCAAUAAUCUGGGUGGUGUUCUCUCUAAUACUCACUGAGUUAACAAGUUCUUUUUCCAUAAUCAACAGACAUCUUGAUUUGGCUCUAAUCUGUUCUUGUUGGGACCAUGCAGCCAAAUGCUCUAUGCUCACUAAUGCUUCUAGCUAAAAUCACCCUCAUAGGCCCCAACAGCCCACAACUAUAUAUAAAAAAAAAUCUACAAGAAGCUCAACAACUACCGAAGUUCACCAAAUCUUCCUAUCCCUCAACCUAUGGGCUAAGCAUGAAUUAUUUCUAUCCAGGGCAGGAACAGCCUACCCAGCCACGAUACAAGAAUAGAAAACUUCUCAAGCCCAGUUUAGCUUCACCUAUCACUGAGGCUUCUCUAUACAAAACCUUCCCAGAGAUGCAUACAGUACCUAACACAAGCAAAGGGGACUUUCAGGCUUUUCUUAAGCCCACUUGCACUAUUUUAGGCCCCUUGUUUUCCCCCUUCACCAUCAGUCAGGUACUCCUAGGCAUCACUACUGCCACAGAUUCUGGAACUUUGGUGGGUUCUCUCAACCCUGCGCACUGCAACACAACCAUCACCAUUGUCAAUACCUCUCAUACUUCUUUUUUUCUAGAAACUGAAAUCUCCCAAUACCAAGUAAGGUUCUCUACCUUACCAAGCCAGUAGUGGUCAUGCAAAAAUUUCAAAUCUUUAACUCCCUUUGGAGGCUCUUUUCCUUGACAUUACUAGACACAUGCUCUUCUGGGAAAAUAAGAACCAUCCUCCUAUUCAAACUACUCACUCAUGUCUGGCUCCCCUAGCAGCUGCAACUUUAGUGACAGAAUAUCACAUCUUGCGUAGCCAACAAUGGUAAUGUUUGGAAUUGACCUUGCCUCCUUCCGUAUCCAUUCUUGUCUACGUAUGACAGAACUUUGUUUUCUAUGUGGGACACAGGCCCACCUCUGCCUCUCUGCAAACUGGACCAGAACACGCAUGCUGGCUUACCUCACCCCUAGCAUCUCAUUGCCCCAGGUGAUGCUUCUCUGCCCUUGCUCUUAUUUAUAACCUCACACUGGGGCCCACCAAGCAAUUCAAUUAAUUCCCUUUCUCGUUGGGCUUGGCAUCACCACAGGUGCCAUGAUGGGAAUAGCCAGCAUUGGCACUUACUCCUGAACCUACCACAGCCUGUCUCUGGAAUUGGCCCAAGGGAUAGAAACGACUAGUUGCUGUAACAGAGUUACAGUGGCAAGUCAGUUCUCUCGCAGCUAUAGUUCUCAAACAUGGUAGAGGUCUUGACAUGCUGGCUGCAGCUCAGGGAGGAACUUGGCUGUGCUUGGAGAAGAGUGCUGAUUUGGGUUAAGAGAUCAGGGCAGGCUCAGGAGCACAUUUGAGAUCUCAUAAACUAGGCUUCUCACCUUUGGGAAGGGGCUACUGGGGUGUCACCUGGUUCUGAUUCUCAUGGCUCCUCCCCUUCCUGGGACCCCUGACCUCUAUCUUCCUUCUUCUCUUUUCUGGGUCUUGCUUCUUGAAUCUACUAAGUAAGUUUAUUUUAUCCCAUCUAGACGCCGUCAGACUUCAAAUGGUCUUGUGACAAGGAUAUCAACCUCUUUCCUGCCCUUGAGGACAACCAAGUUUCUGUAUGUCUCCUCUGGACACUGUGGGUCAAACCUUUUGAGAGACAACAACAACCUCUGAAACCCUCUUGCCAUGACAGCAAGCAAGGAGGAGGGACCAGAAGACCCUCGACGCCCCUUUUCAGCAGGAAGUAGCUACAGAAGAAUGACCUCCACCCUAUUUCCCAAAAGAUUUCUGGGUCCCAACUCCUUAAGGAAUAAACGUGAAAGGGGGCAGUUAGUCAGAUAUUAGCAGGCAGGAGGGGAGGUACCCAUGUUGGAAGGAACAGCCCAGACCACCUCUUAAGAUGCCCAGUACUCACUUUAUGGUCAAACUCAAAAUGUGGCUAACUAGAUCCUGAUAAGGGAGAAAAAAGGCAAAAGCAGAAUUCUUGAGAGCCACACAGGUGCAAUGAGUACAAAUUUGAUGGCUAUAUGACCUUCCCGGGUGGCAGUAAUGAGCAACGUCCCCAUCGGGUGGAAUUUGUAUUGAUCACUGCGUCCAGUGCAUGUACAUGAACCACAGUAAGGGAUGAUCCCCCCAAGCCUUGGUGAGAACUGGACAAGGAAAGAAGCAAGACCAUAGAAUAUCGAAUGCAGAAUGUCCCGGGGCUGUUUCCAGCAGGGUCAGCCCACUCCUCUGUUGGAGUGUACUUUUACUUCCCCAAUAAAACUUUUGCCUGCUUUA
This 4741-nucleotide long non-coding RNA is filed under the name Homo sapiens (human). RNAcentral's name for it is "novel transcript". Lineage: Eukaryota; Metazoa; Chordata; Mammalia; Primates; Hominidae. The record is from RNAcentral.